AAAAAAAAUUUCUAGUUUUCAAGCUGCAAAUCUAUAUCAUUAUUCCCUAGCUUAAAAAAAAAUACAAUAAAGCAACCACUACUGUUGACCUAGCAACAUAACUAUCCAGUCAUGAAUCUUAUUUAAGACAAGCAGCAAUUUUUCAUCAUAAAUUUUGAAUAGAAAUAUCUUCACCAUUCUUGUCAAGAUAAAGCAAGAAUAAGACACUACUUCAUUUUCAAUCAAACCAACCAAUCGAGCUGUCAACCCAAUUGAG
This 256-nucleotide unclassified non-coding RNA is filed under the name Hevea brasiliensis (rubber tree). Lineage: Eukaryota; Viridiplantae; Streptophyta; Magnoliopsida; Malpighiales; Euphorbiaceae. The record is from RNAcentral.